Molecule: non-coding RNA, 263 nt
Filed under: Pongo abelii (Sumatran orangutan)
Lineage: Eukaryota; Metazoa; Chordata; Mammalia; Primates; Hominidae
Source: RNAcentral
GAAAGGCCUGGCUUCCUUUUCCUUCCUGUCCCUGCCCCACCUCCGCCGGGCUCCACAGCCGCCGGGAGUCCAGGGCCGAGACGGGAGGAGGGUACCCACCUGGUCGGUGUCACAUGCUGCUUCGGCCCCAGCGUCCCCUCCAGGUCCCGGCGCCGGCCGCAGUCCCCAGCGCCGUCCCCAGCGCAGGCCCGGCCGCCCCACCCGCGGCCCGCCCCUGGCCGCCCGACGGGAGGGAGGGAUCGGGUUCUCCUAGGAAGUUUCAG